UUUCCGUAGGUGAACCUGCGGAAGGAUCAUUAAAGAAUCGCCCCGUUUUUUAUAAAUGGGUUCUAUUCCCAAACCGUGUAUACAUACCUUUGUUGCUUUAGCAGGCCGCAUCCGGGCGUCGGCUCCGGCUGAUAGUGCCUGCCAGAGGACCCAAACUCUGUGUUUAGUGAUGUCUGAGUACUAUAUAAUAGUUAAAACUUUCAACAACGGAUCUCUUGGUUCUG
Molecule: unclassified non-coding RNA, 224 nt
Filed under: plant metagenome
Description: partial contains small subunit ribosomal RNA, internal transcribed spacer 1, and 5.8S ribosomal RNA
Source: RNAcentral